ACACGUAGGGGGCGAGCGUUGUCCGGAUUUAUUGGGCGUAAAGAGCUCGUAGGCGGUUUCGUAAGUCGGGUGUGAAAACUCCAGGCUCAACCUGGAGACGCCACCCGAUACUGCGAUGACUAGAGUCCGGUAGGGGAGCGUGGAAUUCCUGGUGUAGCGGUGAAAUGCGCAGAUAUCAGGAGGAACACCGGCGGCGAAGGCAGCGCUCUGGGCCGGUACUGACGCUGAGGAGCGAAAGCGUGGGGAGCGAACAGGAUUAGAUACCCUGGUAGUCCACGCCGUAAACGUUGGGCACUAGGUGUGGGAUCUUUCCAACGGAUUCCGUGCCGUAGCUAACGCAUUAAGUGCCCCGCCUGGGGAGUACGGCCGCAAGGCUAAA
Molecule: ribosomal RNA, 379 nt
Filed under: uncultured bacterium
Lineage: Bacteria
Description: bacterial SSU rRNA
Rfam family: Bacterial small subunit ribosomal RNA
Source: RNAcentral